GGAUUGCUGUUUGCUGUAAAGUGAUGGGGAGGCCCUGGAUGGUGAUGAUAUUGGAGUCAAAAUCUGAAGAAAGUGAGUAAUGAGCCAACAGCUACUUGGGGAAGAGCAUGUGUUCUAGGCCAGGGAGCAGCAGAUUCAGAGGCCCUGAAACAGGAGCUUGCAGAAGAAACACUGAGGAGCCCAGGGUGCCUGGAGGGACUGUGUCGGCAACGCACAGAGGAGGAGGGGAGGGUAGAUCCUGGAGGGCUCUACUGGGGAAUUUUGAACAGAGAUGGGAUGAUUCUGACUUUUUAAAAAAGUGUACAAUCCAGUGGUUUUUAGUAUAUUUACAGAGUUAUACAACUAUCACAAUUAAUUUGAGAAUAUUUGCAUCAUCCUGAGAAGAAACGUUCUUUGUACAAAGAAGAAACUUAAGAAACUUACCGGCUUUGCAUGGAGAGUAGAUGGAAGGCCCCAUCAGGACAGACAAGGUCUGGUCAGGCUAGGAUGCAGAGACCACUGAGGUGAGGCAGGCCAGGGGCACACCCAGGAACCAGGGAGGAGCAGGCAGGCAGUAUCCAGAGAGAGGUGGUUGACUACAGUUGGUAGUUCAGUGGGCACAUCAUCUUGUUAGGGAGGAGUAGAGAGGACAGUUGGACCUCCAGGCCAGGAGGUGGGGUUUGGCAAGAGAGGGUGCAGGGCUGCAGGCUGAUGGGUGAUUAGUAUCAAGAUAGCCCAACUUCAGCAUGGAGUUGCAGGACUACGUAAGACUUUUUUUUUUUUUGAGAUGGAGUUUCGCUCUGUCCCCCAGGCUGGAGUGCAAUGGUGUGAUCUUGGCUCACUGCAACCUCUGCCUCGCAGGAUCAAGUGAUUCUCCUGCCUCAGCCUCCUGAGUAGCUGGGAUUAGAGGCAGACACCACCAAACCCGGCUAAAUUUUGUAGUUUUAGUAGAGAUGGGGUUUCACUGUGUUGGCCAGGCUGGUCUUGAACUCCUGACCUCAGGUGAUCCUCCUACCUCGGCCUCCUAAAGUGCUGGGAUUACAGGUGUCAGCCACCACGCCCUGCCAAGACUACAUAAGAGUGUUAAUCCCCAGGAGGACUCAUGUGGUCUGCUUAGAACCCCAGCUUCAGAGGAACUGGCUGUGUUGACCCAGUUGUUCACUGAAACACAAGAUGAGAGUGGGGCCAGCUGGAAGGAGGGCUGAGUACUGAGCCUCAUGCUGCCCACUUGGCUCAGGUUGUUUGCAUUGCUGCCAUUUGGGGCCAGGUUGGUCAUGAGGCCUUGGUUGGGAGUUAGGUGACUCUGCUGUGGAGGUUAGAGGCCAGGGAGCCAGCCAUUAUAGACCGCUUUUGUUAAUACAGAAUCCACUAGAGGAUUCUGCUCUCUGUGUCUGUUCUUUCACUGCAGUAUCUCUCUGAAUAUGUAUCUUAAAGAUAUGUCUGUC
This 1424-nucleotide long non-coding RNA is filed under the name Homo sapiens (human). RNAcentral describes it as "non-protein coding lnc-CHST6-1:3". Lineage: Eukaryota; Metazoa; Chordata; Mammalia; Primates; Hominidae. The record is from RNAcentral.